This 332-nucleotide unclassified non-coding RNA is filed under the name soil metagenome. RNAcentral's name for it is "partial contains 5.8S ribosomal RNA, internal transcribed spacer 2, and large subunit ribosomal RNA". The stretch from base 1 to 120 matches the Rfam family "5.8S ribosomal RNA", at positions 35 to 154 of the family's 154-position model. The record is from RNAcentral.
GAUGAAGAACGUAGCAAAAUGCGAUAAGUAAUGUGAAUUGCAGAAUUCAGUGAAUCAUCGAAUCUUUGAACGCACAUUGCGCCCGCCAGUAUUCUGGCGGGCAUGCCUGUUCGAGCGUCAUUUCAACCCUCAAGCACAGCUUGGUGUUGGGACUCGCGUUAAUUCGCGUUCCUCAAAUUGAUUGGCGGUCACGUCGAGCUUCCAUAGCGUAGUAGUAAAACCCUCGUUACUGGUAAUCGUCGCGGCCACGCCGUUAAACCCCAACUUCUGAAUGUUGACCUCGGAUCAGGUAGGAAUACCCGCAGAACUUAAGCAUAUCAAUAAGCGGAGGA